Molecule: long non-coding RNA, 729 nt
Organism: Cyprinodon variegatus (sheepshead minnow)
Lineage: Eukaryota; Metazoa; Chordata; Actinopteri; Cyprinodontiformes; Cyprinodontidae
Exons: 3
Source: RefSeq, a predicted model, not a curated record
UUUAUGNAACUGAUCAGUUCACCUGGAAACACAAACAAAGAUCAGUUCAAUGAGGGAUUAGGAAAGGUCCAGUUUUAUGGGGUGAUGAUAAAAGCCAUGAAGCCUCCUAAAACUUUGAAUGGAGUGGAUCAUGUCACAGCUGUGUUCCAAGCCCUGCCAAUCCUCUUCCCGUCCAGCAUCCCGCCACCUAAGAAGCUGGGCUUAAGCAGUGAGGCUCUUUUCCAUGUCCUUACGACUUCAGAGGAUCCUGAUAGUUUCCUGCGCCAGCGACCAAUGUCUUGUUUCUGAGAACAACUGCAUGAUCGCCAUUGGAAACAGGCCAGUGACCUUCAGCAUUGAGAGGUUUAAUGAGGGACUUCUCUACCUCAUGUCAUAUUAAUAUGCCUUGCACCUCACUUACCCAAAAUCUAUUUCCACACUUCUGUCAGGACUGAAAACAGAAAUUCUCCAUGAUUCCAUUCAUGAGCAAGAUUUUACCCUUUCGUACAAAGAAGCCAUUGGCGAGUGGAAGUCGUUCAUUGAGUGAGUGAGUCUCUUCAAUCUGCCCCACUCUCUGUCUCAUGUGAAACUUUCAGAGAGUCUGUUUCAGAAAUGGUUUGUCGCAUUUGUUGUUGAAAUGGAAAAAUGUUCCAGUUGGAUAUUGUGCAAAAACGGCAGCUGCAAAUAUAUGUUUGUCAUGAUGCUUUUAAGGGAUCUGACCCACAUGCAGAAAACACUCAGAGAACCAAG